GUAGAAGUUGCUGCUUUCUUCUCUGUGGGCUCCUUUCUCGUGGAUCUGGACCCCAGGAGUUCCCAGGCAUAGAGAGGAGGGGUGCCAGUGGAGUGUAAGCACCAUGACAACAGGAACUGUGUCUUGACCACUGUUGACUUCCAAGCACCUCAAAUAGGACCUGUCACAUAGAAGUUUCAAUCAAUAUUUGUUGAGUGAAUGAAGACAACAGGUGUCAACUUAGCUUCUACUACAGUUCUAAGACUUUUGCGUCAAGAAGUGGGGACACUCCAGAUGCAAUGUGCCAACGACCUCACAGACACAGGUUGUGGAUAGCAGCAGACAUGGAGGUGGAGGCUGGGCGGCCAGUGAUGCUGUGAGUCAGUUCUGCAGGCUGUACGGGAAGCACGGCACCAGUAUCUGCUUCUGGUGAGGACUCAGGAGCUUAAAAUCAUGGUGGAAGCAGGGAGAGCAAGCAUGUCACAAGGUGAGAGAGGAAGCAAGAGAGAAGUGGAGAGGUCCCAGACUCUUUCUAACAACCAGAUCUCACAUGAAUUCCUUACUGCUGGGAGGGCAGCAAACUAUGCAUGAAUGAUCCAUCCCAUGACCCAAACACCUCCCAGUAGGCCCCACCUUCAACAUUGGGAAUCACAUUUCAACAUGAGAUUUGGAGGGGACAAACAUCCAAACUAUAUCAGAUGGGAACCGUCAGGGCAGUUGAGCAAAGACGUGACAGGAUUUGGCUUCCAUUAUGAAAGCAUUGCUAGGGACACUGGGUGGAGAAUUAGACCACAGAGGGGUCAGAAAGCAGGAGGAAAAUCAGGAACUCCCCACCCCCCGCCAUAUUCAGAUGAUGAUUCUCAGCUCACAAAUGUGCCUCCAAAAUCUGAUGGCACCAUGACCCUCUCCUGGAUCCUCGGGUGACUUCGCUCUGCCUUUAAAUGGAACAUAUACACGGGCAGCCACGAGAUCCUGCACGUUCUGCACCAGCCUCCCUCUGCAUUGCCUUGCUACCAUGGAUUUGCCUUCUGUUCUCUCUCUCUCUUACUUGGUGAUUCCACCCGAGACCGUGUUUCUGGUACUUACCUGGCCCGUGUGCAUUUCCCUGAUGCCUGCGAUGUUCUCCUCCACUUCUUUAUCUGGCUAAGACCUGGUCACCUUAACCAUCUUCAACCUUCUGUUUCUCAGGGAAGCCACUCCUGCCUCUCGCAGACCAGCCUGGGUAGGGCUUCGUACAGCCUAGGGUUCCCCCCCUACUUUGGUCAUACUGCUCACUUUUGGGAGUACCUGCUCUUUUUGGUCUCUUUCUUUGGGCUCCAGUCACCAAGGCCAGGUCAACUUCUCUCUUGUUCACCCGUCAGCACUUAAGCCAAGUGCACAAUCCCAAAAACCUGAUGGCACCACGACCGUCCGGAAUAUCUGGACCCUUGACAAGGAAUACUUUGUGAGGUGAACAGAAUACUUGCCAACAUCACACAGCUACUAAGCGGGCAGAUCAAGGAUCAAACUCCUGCUUCCAACUUCUUCCUGGCCCCUGGACCUUAACUCAAGGCUCAGUUUAGCCUCAGCUGGUGACAGCUGGGCUCCAGGAUCUGCAAAGGCUCCCCCAGUCCAUCUGACCACAAGAAUUACCCAGGCCUGGGGACACUUGUAAGAAUACUCACCUGAACCUGCAGAAUCACAGCUCCAGAAGAUGAACCUGGGAUUCUCAUUCUGUUUAUUUGUUUGUUUAUUCAAGGGUCCCAGGUGAAUCUUAUCACCAAAUAAGUUUUGGAAAUACAUUUCUAAGGGACUCCUUCCCAAAGGAGCUUCCCAGAACAGAAAGGUCAAAGAGGAGGCAAAAACAUGAUUGUAGUGGCUAUUUCAGCACAGCAACAGUUCCUUCUCAAAUGUCUCCUCUCUAUUAUAAAAAGAAACUUUGCAUCUGAGCCUGAUAUUUAUUUAUGCGAAUUAUUUUGUGGGAUGAAUGGAAGUCUCCAGAACUUUCACGGAAAGUUCCGCUUCCUGGACAACUGUAAAUAGCUCUGCCCUGACAAACUUUGACCAAGUGCAAAUUAAGGAACACUCAAAAGGAGCACAAGCAGAGAUGAGGACACUCUCAGAACUCCUGAAAGGAGAGGCAGAAGCUCAGAGAGGUUAAUCAGCUUAUCUGAAGUCACACAUCUGGUAGGUGGUAGAGGUGGAACCAGACCCAGCCCUCUGCAUCCCUGGCUGGUAUUUUUCCUUCUGAAACACAAGAGUGCAUCAGGGCAAUGUUGCUUCUGCACAGAAAACUGUGGUGCCUACACUGGAGCAAAAGGUGCUCCAAGAA
Molecule: long non-coding RNA, 2290 nt
Filed under: Homo sapiens (human)
Lineage: Eukaryota; Metazoa; Chordata; Mammalia; Primates; Hominidae
Description: HSALNT0318492
Source: RNAcentral